This 677-nucleotide ribosomal RNA is filed under the name Lentilactobacillus buchneri. RNAcentral describes it as "bacterial SSU rRNA". It matches the Rfam family "Bacterial small subunit ribosomal RNA", at positions 56 to 689 of the family's 1533-position model. The record is from RNAcentral. Lineage: Bacteria; Bacillati; Bacillota; Bacilli; Lactobacillales; Lactobacillaceae.
UGCAAGUCGAACGCGUCUCCGUUGAUGAUUUUAGGUGCUUGCACUUGAAAGAUUUAACAUUGAGACGAGUGGCGAACUGGUGAGUAACACGUGGGUAACCUGCCCUUGAAGUAGGGGAUAACACUUGGAAACAGGUGCUAAUACCGUAUAACAACCAAAACCACCUGGUUUUGGUUUAAAAGACGGCUUCGGCUGUCACUUUAGGAUGGACCCGCGGCGUAUUAGCUUGUUGGUAAGGUAACGGCCUACCAAGGCGAUGAUACGUAGCCGACCUGAGAGGGUAAUCGGCCACAUUGGGACUGAGACACGGCCCAAACUCCUACGGGAGGCAGCAGUAGGGAAUCUUCCACAAUGGACGAAAGUCUGAUGGAGCAACGCCGCGUGAGUGAUGAAGGGUUUCGGCUCGUAAAACUCUGUUGUUGGAGAAGAACAGGUGUCAGAGUAACUGUUGACAUCUUGACGGUAUCCAACCAGAAAGCCACGGCUAACUACGUGCCAGCAGCCGCGGUAAUACGUAGGUGGCAAGCGUUGUCCGGAUUUAUUGGGCGUAAAGCGAGCGCAGGCGGUUUUUUAGGUCUGAUGUGAAAGCCUUCGGCUUAACCGGAGAAGUGCAUCGGAAACCGGGAGACUUGAGUGCAGAAGAGGACAGUGGAACUCCAUGUGUAGCGGUGAAAUGC